GAUGAACGCUGGCGGCGUGCCUAAUACAUGCAAGUCGAGCGAACAGACGAGGAGCUUGCUCCUCUGACGUUAGCGGCGGACGGGUGAGUAACACGUGGAUAACCUACCUAUAAGACUGGGAUAACUUCGGGAAACCGGAGCUAAUACCGGAUAAUAUAUUGAACCGCAUGGUUCAAUAGUGAAAGACGGUUUUGCUGUCACUUAUAGAUGGAUCCGCGCCGCAUUAGCUAGUUGGUAAGGUAACGGCUUACCAAGGCAACGAUGCGUAGCCGACCUGAGAGGGUGGUCGGCCACCCUGGAACUGAGACACGGUCCAGACUCCUACGGGAGGCAGCAGUAGGGACUCUUCCGCAAUGGGCGAAAGCCUGACGGAGCAACGCCGCGUGAGUGAUGAAGGUCUUCGGAUCGUAAAACUCUGUUAUUAGGGAAGAACAAAUGUGUAAGUAACUAUGCACGUCUUGACGGUACCUAAUCAGAAAGCCACGGCUAACUACGUG
This 497-nucleotide ribosomal RNA is filed under the name uncultured bacterium. RNAcentral describes it as "partial 16S ribosomal RNA". It matches the Rfam family "Bacterial small subunit ribosomal RNA", at positions 28 to 507 of the family's 1533-position model. The record is from RNAcentral.